GCCCUCCCUCGCCGCCAUCAGACCUCCGUACGGGGGCAGCAGUGGGGAAUUUUGCGCAAUGGGGGAAACCCUGACGCAGCAACGCCGCGUGGAGGAUGAAGCCCCUUGGGGUGUAAACUCCUUUCGAUAGGGAAGAUAAUGACGGUACCUAUAGAAGAAGCACCGGCCAACUACGUGCCAGCAGCCGCGGUAAUUC
RNAcentral lists this ribosomal RNA (196 nucleotides) under uncultured bacterium. RNAcentral's name for it is "partial 16S ribosomal RNA". It matches the Rfam family "Bacterial small subunit ribosomal RNA", at positions 302 to 526 of the family's 1533-position model. The record is from RNAcentral.